CAGAAGACCACCCCAUGAAACACUGCAGAUAGCGCCUGCAGGACAUUUGCAGGUGGGCACCAGGAGGGAGGGAAGGAGAAUCUGCAGCACCUCUGACCCGCCUGGUUACCGAUUCUAUCUGUGGGAUGUGCAGCCCUGGUUGAAACUGCUGGUGGGCUGAAAAAGUGACAGACCUCUUUUGGAAGUUCUUAAGGUUGUCACUUGAAGGGAGGCCCAGGGCAGCUGGAGCUGCGGGGGUGAAGACAUCCUGGUCUGCAGCCAGCAGAGGACUCCUGCCUGUCGACCAGGCCGCCAGCACUGCUCGAGGCCGGAGUGCAGGACCCUGGAGCGGCCCCAUUACAAAAUGCCAGUCACUGGGAAGGAAGGAGCAGGCAGGUCAUGCGGGCGUGCGCUCCGGAUGGAAAAGCAGGAGCCAAGUUCUUCCUUCAGAAGGGGGAGGCCCUUGUGAUUCACUGAGAGUGGGGUUUCCGUGGAGGCUUCCCAUGGACCGCAGAUAAUGAGAACAUUCUCCCUCUACCUAUCACAGAUAGGUUACUGAGGCCGUAUUACCUACCAGGUUAGCUCAUUUCAUCCUGCCGACAAGUGUGAUCAUCUCCACUUCUCAAAGCACGAAGAGGCUGCCUGACUUGCCCAAGCCUGCAGCUAGUGAAUGCAGGCGCCAGGGGCCCAACCCAGGCAGCCUGACUCCCAGCCCUCGCCCCCAACUGCUCAGCAUCUGCUCCUCCGAGAUGAAGUUCACCUCGUCUGUGGAUUCAAAUGAGGGGCCACAACACUACACUUAGUCCCUUAGUUUGCAUAUCUACCCUGGGACCAUAACCAUACACGGAAUUUCAUUGUAGCAGCUUCAGGAUUUGAGAAACAUCAGGAAGCCUUCAUAUCUGCUUGAAACUGUAUUCUCUCUAGGCCAGGCUUGUGGCUGGAAAGAGAAAGCAGCUUGCAGAGUCAGAGUGUCAGUUACAUUGUAUUGCAAUUCAAGUUCCAAUUACAAAACGUCCCCAACCCCACACUGGUGAUAGAAUUUUGUGGCAUUUCCUAAACAAGGGUACAAAGUUUCCCACAAAAAGUUUUCCGUGAACUUUACAGUUCCCAUGAAGCGAGGUCCUGGACCUCCUGCGUUGGAAUUCCCUGACUGAUCCUGUUUUUCAGUUGUUGGUGUGCAUCCUGACGGUGAGGAGAAGGCUGAGGAGAGCAGGAGUUCAGCACAGCCUGUCAGAGCCUGUUAGCAUAUUCCUGUGGCUACAAGAGAAACGCAGACUGGGCAGGUUUAUAACUGGCUGCGUGGGGCUCCUAUGGGGCUGAUGUCAACCUGAAGGCUGGCUUCUAGAUGGGGUUAGUGAGGACAUGCUGCUGAAAGCGCUCAGAUCGUCAGAGCUGGGCAGGACAGCUGCGCCCUUGAGUGGCUGACAGGAUUUGCACCAGACAGGCCAGGCAAGGUGCCAAGCUGAUAAACUGCCACCUUUUGAGGGGCUUCUGCCACACCCACAGCUGGUGUGGAAGGAUUUCUCAGGCCUUUACCACCUAACACAACUGGCUGGACCCAGGAUCGGUACCAAAGAUGCCACUGAGGUGGCCUGGCCCGAGAACUCUGCCCAGUAGGAGCAUGUCACAAAGAGCUGUGGGUGACUGGCCCACCAAGGUUGGAUUCAGGAUCUGGAAGCAGAAGCCGUGAGGCUGAAAAGCGAGGGAACAGACUCGGCGAGGCGGGGCAGCACGGUGUCCUUGGCUGGGUGCUGUGGGGGAAGUAGGUGUGGCUCCACAGAGGGGCCGCUGGGCACUGAGCUCCGGAUCCCGAGCUGUGGUGACGUUUCCUUCUCAGGAGGCUGUGACGUCCAGCUGCCCCGAUUCCUGCCUCCCUGCUCUCCUGGGGUCCCUCCAGGAAGCCCCCAUAGCUGAGGAACCCAUGCGAGUCUUAUGCUUUGCAAUCUAAGAGAGCCCAUCUUGACCAGUUGGAAUGAAGGCCCAAAUCUGACUCCCUGAAAAGAGAAAGAGAGUCCACAAACGGGAAAAGAGUGAUUCAAAUGGGUCACUGCAGUGUUUAUUGAGCCCCUGCUGUGCACCAGGCACUGGGUGUAGCAAGGCAAAAACUAAACAAAACAGAGCCUUAACCUCAAGGAACUUACCUUCUAAUGGGGGGGAGGAGGAAGGCAGACAGUAUUAAAAUAGAUGUGACUUUACACAUGGCCAGCGUCAGAGGGGACGUUUGAGCAGAGACCUGCUGAAAUGAGUCGCUGGGAAGAGCGUUCCAGAGGGAGGCUAGUAUGUCUGAGGAGUUGAGAGAGACCGGUGGGCCAGAGCUGGGGGCUGGGGGAGCGUGCAGGACCCGAUGCCGUGGCCGGGGGGGUCGGGAUGGUGAGGGCAAUGCAGAGGCCUGUGCACUUCACCCUGAGUGAGAGGAGGGCCUGGGGGUUCUCAGCAGAGGAAUGCGCGCUCUGCCUUCCGUUUUUGAAGGCUCACUCCGGCUGCUGUUGAAGCGAGACUGAAGAGCAUGUGUCAGUUAUCUGGUGCUCCCUGACAAGCCCUCCCCAAAACUUAGUGGGUUAAAACAGCAGCCAUCUUCUUUGCUCCUGAUCCUGUGCGUGGACUGGGGCUCAGCCACAGUUCCUCUGUUGGCCUCACUCGGAGUCCCUCGUGUGAAGCUUUCAGGCGGGAGCCUGGUGGAACCAGCACAUCCAGGAUGGCCUCUGCCUUGGUUUUGUGGGACUGCCAUAACAAAUUACCACAAAUCCGGGGGCUGAAAACAACAGAAACUUAUUCCCUCUCAGUUCUGGAGGCCGAAAGUCUGAAAUCCAGGCGUUGGCAGAGCUGCUUCCUUCUGGAGGCUCCGAGGGAAACUGCGGUCCUUGCCUCUCUCCGGCUUUGGGGGUGGCCACCAAUCCUUGGUGUGCCUUGCCUGACACCUGCGUCACUCCUAUCUGACUCAGUGGUCACAUGUGUUCUCCCUGUGUGUCUCUGUGUCUCUGUGUCCACAUUUCUCAUUUUUUAUGAGUGACAGUCACA
This is a long non-coding RNA of Equus caballus (horse), 2997 nucleotides long. Lineage: Eukaryota; Metazoa; Chordata; Mammalia; Perissodactyla; Equidae. The record is from Ensembl.